Molecule: transfer RNA, 69 nt
Filed under: Marmota monax (woodchuck)
Lineage: Eukaryota; Metazoa; Chordata; Mammalia; Rodentia; Sciuridae
Description: tRNA.Ala
Source: RNAcentral
GGGGUUGUGGCUCAGGGGUAGAGUGUUUGCCUAGCAUGCAUGAGUCACUUGGUUUGAUCCUCAGCACCA